GGAAGGAAGAGAGCGGCAAUCGCCAUUUUGUUCACUCUUGGACAGUGUGCUGUGGGAGCUGCCUUGCAGAGAGAAGAGAGACCAUUUAUUUUGUUUAUUCAGCCUCAGAUUAUGAACUCUCAAAGAGCCUUUCCUUCUGAUACAAUGCUAGAAUAAAGCAUUUGUGAAAACCAGCUGAUUACCUGAGCAGGCUGGAGUUGGCAUUUGCAGCUGAGUUUAUAGAGCUCUCAGCGGUGGCAGGGUAUUUCAGUCUGAUCUGAGAAGCAGUUUUAAAAUAUUGGGCGACGAGAUUUUGAACAAGCUAUGUGGGUAAGCCUGCAAAGCUUGUGAAAGUUCCUGCAUCUUCCAUCUAUUGCAUUCCUGGGCCCACAUUCCUGAACUGCUGCAUUCUACUAUUGCUGCUACUGAUUGUUUCUCAGGCUUCCUGACCUGCAGAACCCCAAAGGAAUCUCCCUGGGCGAGGAGCACAAAAGAACUUCCAAUACUUCAAUGGAACAACAUUAUCUUCCAUUUUCCCCCACUCUGUGCAGGCAGCUGAUGUACAAAAACGUGUAAUUACCAUCUGACAUAGAAGUGAUUGUGUGAGCCUGAAAAUCAGGAAUGCUAACUCUUCUCAAAAUAAAUUUCAAUUUGACGCGGUGAAUUUUACA
Long non-coding RNA from Hemicordylus capensis (graceful crag lizard), 650 nucleotides. RefSeq lists it as uncharacterized. NCBI's taxonomy places the organism in Eukaryota, Metazoa, Chordata, Lepidosauria, Squamata, Cordylidae. The transcript has 4 exons. The record is from RefSeq and is a predicted model, not a curated record.